Molecule: transfer RNA, 67 nt
Filed under: Aleyrodes shizuokensis
Lineage: Eukaryota; Metazoa; Arthropoda; Insecta; Hemiptera; Aleyrodidae
Description: tRNA-His
Source: RNAcentral
UUUAAAUAGUUUAUAUAUAAAAUAUUAAUUUGUGAUAUUAGAGAAAAAUUAUAAAUUUUUUAAAUUA